This 481-nucleotide ribosomal RNA is filed under the name uncultured bacterium. RNAcentral describes it as "partial 16S ribosomal RNA". It matches the Rfam family "Bacterial small subunit ribosomal RNA", at positions 28 to 507 of the family's 1533-position model. The record is from RNAcentral.
GAUGAACGCUGGCGGCGUGCUUAACACAUGCAAGUCGAACGAAGCAUUUGCGACAGAUUUUUUCGGAAUGAAGUUGCUUAUGACUGAGUGGCGGACGGGUGAGUAACGCGUGGGUAACCUGCCUUGUACUGGGGGAUAGCAGCUGGAAACGGCUGGUAAUACCGCAUAAGCGCACAAUGUUGCAUGACAUGGUGUGAAAAACUCCGGUGGUAUAAGAUGGACCCGCGUCUGAUUAGCUAGUUGGUGAGAUAACAGCCCACCAAGGCGACGAUCAGUAGCCGACCUGAGAGGGUGACCGGCCACAUUGGGACUGAGACACGGCCCAGACUCCUACGGGAGGCAGCAGUGGGGAAUAUUGCACAAUGGAGGAAACUCUGAUGCAGCGACGCCGCGUGAGUGAAGAAGUAAUUCGUUAUGUAAAGCUCUAUCAGCAGGGAAGAUAGUGACGGUACCUGACUAAGAAACUCCGGCUAAAUACGUG